This 508-nucleotide ribosomal RNA is filed under the name uncultured Glomus. Its description in RNAcentral is "SSU rRNA". It matches the Rfam family "Eukaryotic small subunit ribosomal RNA", at positions 569 to 1078 of the family's 1831-position model. The record is from RNAcentral. Lineage: Eukaryota; Fungi; Glomeromycota; Glomeromycetes; Glomerales; Glomeraceae.
AGCAGCCGCGGUAAUUCCAGCUCCAAUAGCGUAUAUUAAAGUUGUUGCAGUUAAAAAGCUCGUAGUUGAAUUUCGGGGUUAGUAGGUUGGUCAUGCCUCUGGUAUGUACUGGUCUCACUGAUUCCUCCUUCCUGAUGAGCCGUAAUGCCAUUAAUUUGGUGUUGCGGGGAAUUUGGACUGUUACUUUGAAAAAAUUAGAGUGUUUAAAGCAAGCUAACGCUUGAAUACAUUAGCAUGGAAUAAUGAAAUAGGACGUUCGAUCCUAUUUUGUUGGUUUCUAGGAUUGGCGUAAUGAUUAAUAGGGAUAGUUGGGGGCAUUAGUAUUCAAUUGUCAGAGGUGAAAUUCUUGGAUUUAUUGAAGACUAACUACUGCGAAAGCAUUUGCCAAGGAUGUUUUCAUUAAUCAAGAACGAAAGUUAGGGGAUCGAAGACGAUCAGAUACCGUCGUAGUCUUAACCAUAAACUAUGCCGACUAGGGAUCGGAUGAUGUUAAUUUUUUAAUGACUCA